CGGCGCCGGAGAUUCGCUAGCCCAGCGCCCUGCGCGGCCGCCCGCCGCCUCCCGCCAGCCGGUCCCGACCCGCGGAGCGACCACCGAGCCGCGCCCGAGCCAGCCCCGCGGCAGGAAACGAUGAAGGGGGAUACCAGACACCUCAGUGAAGAGGAGGGCGCCAGCGGGAGGGAGGACUCCAUCAUUCUCAUCAACGGGGCCAGCAGUGACCAGUCCUCCGACUCCAAGGACGCCCCUUCGCCCCCCAUCCUGGAGGCUAUCCGCUCACCCGAGAUCAGAGGCCGCAGAUCCAGCUCCCGCCUGUCCAAGAGGGAGGUCUCCAGCCUAAUCAGCUACACUCAGGAUCUGACAGGGGAAGCAGAUGGUGAAGAAGAUGGGGACAGCUCUGAGGCUCCUGUGAUGCCAAGACUAUUCCGGGAAACCAGGACCCGCUCUGCAAGCCCAGCAGUCCGAACCCGAAAUAGCAACAACAGUGCCUCCAGUCGGGAGAGGUACAAGUCCUUCCCACAUCCCACCCGAGGCCGCCAGGGCCGCAGUCACGUGGACGAGUCUCCCGUGGAGUUCCCGGCUACCAGGUCCCUAAGGCGGCGGUCAACAGCCUCGCCAGGUACGCCGUGGCCAUCCCCGUCCACUCCUUACCUCACCAUCGACCUCACGGAGGACGAUGUGACACCACAGAGCAGCAGUACCCCCUGCGCCAGCCUAGCUGAGAGCCAGCAGGAGAACUCGGAGACCUCCCAGGUGGACGCAGAGGGGAGAGACUCCGACAACACUGAGUACCAGGAUGGGAAGGAGUUUGGAAUAGGGGACCUGGUAUGGGGCAAGAUCAAGGGCUUCUCCUGGUGGCCUGCCAUGGUGGUUUCUUGGAAGGCUACCUCCAAGCGCCAGGCCAUGUCCGGCAUGCGAUGGGUCCAGUGGUUUGGUGAUGGCAAGUUCUCUGAGGUCUCUGCAGACAAACUGGUGGCCUUGGGGCUGUUCAGUCAGCAUUUUAACCAGGCCACCUUCAAUAAACUGGUGUCAUACAGGAAGGCCAUGUACCAGGCCCUGGAGAAAGCCAGGGUACGAGCUGGCAAGACCUUCCCCAGCAGCCCUGGAGACUCUUUGGAGGACCAGCUGAAGCCCAUGUUGGAGUGGGCCCACGGGGGCUUCAAGCCCACUGGGAUCGAGGGCCUCAAACCCAACAACAACCAACCAGUGGUUAAUAAAUCGAAGGUGCGUCGUGCAGGCAGUAGGAAGUUAGAAUCAAGGAAACACGAGAACAAGAGUCGAAGACGCACCACUGAUGAUUCAGCUGCCUCUGACCACUGUCCCCCAAACAAGCGCCUCAAGACAAACUGCUAUAACAAUGGCAAGGACCGUGGAGAGGAAGAUCAGAGCCGAGAACAAAUGGUUUCUGAUGUUACCAACAACAAGAACAAUCUGGAAGAUAGCUGUUUGUCCUGUGGUAGAAAAAACCCCGUGUCCUUCCACCCGCUCUUUGAGGGGGGGCUUUGCCAGACGUGCCGGGAUCGCUUCCUUGAGUUGUUCUACAUGUACGACGACGAUGGUUAUCAGUCCUACUGCACCGUGUGCUGUGAGGGCCGUGAGCUGCUUCUCUGCAGCAACACAAGCUGUUGCCGGUGCUUCUGUGUGGAGUGUCUGGAGGUGCUGGUGGGCAAGGGCACAGCGGAGGACGCCAAGCUGCAGGAGCCCUGGAGCUGCUACAUGUGUCUCCCCCAGCGCUGCCACGGAGUCCUGCGGCGCCGGAAGGACUGGAAUGUCCGCCUGCAGACCUUCUUCACCAGCGACAUGGGGCUUGAAUACGAGGCCCCCAAGUUGUACCCUGCGAUUCCCGCAGCCAAAAGGCGGCCCAUUAGAGUCCUGUCACUAUUCGAUGGAAUUGCCACAGGUUACUUGGUCCUCAAAGACUUGGGCAUUAAAGUGGAAAAGUAUGUCGCCUCAGAAGUGUGUGAAGAAUCCAUCGCCGUUGGAACCGUGAAGCACGAGGGAAACAUCAAAUAUGUGAAUGACGUCAGGAACAUCACAAAGAAAAAUAUUGAAGAGUGGGGUCCAUUUGAUUUGGUGAUCGGUGGAAGCCCAUGCAAUGACCUAUCAAAUGUGAAUCCUGCCCGGAAAGGCCUGUAUGAGGGCACUGGCCGACUCUUCUUCGAAUUCUACCACCUGCUCAAUUACUCACGCCCCAAAGAAGGGGAUGACCGGCCAUUCUUCUGGAUGUUUGAGAAUGUUGUAGCCAUGAAGGUUGGCGACAAAAGGGACAUCUCACGGUUCCUGGAGUGUAACCCAGUGAUGAUUGAUGCCAUCAAAGUUUCUGCUGCUCACAGGGCUAGAUACUUCUGGGGAAACCUACCUGGGAUGAACAGGUAACAGGGGACUCUUAGUGGGACCCCAGGUAACAGCCAAGAGAAAUUCAGAUGUUAGCUUUCACAUUCCAGUCUUCUAGAAAGUGCUGUCUGUACUGAGAAACAACCCCAGUCUGGGCUUCAGAACAAUCUGCAGUAUCUCAGGGCUGAUUCCUGUUUGGUAUUUCAAGGAAUCUUGGGCCAGGACUUGAGGCCUACUUAUUUGUUCCUGAUGGUGAGCAGACAGGCCUGGUUCUUAAGAGUGCCAGGUGCUGGAGCCAUGUUGAUGCCAGGGAUGCCUCUUGUUGUUCCUUCUGGGCUCUGCCUUUCCUCCCAGCUGCCAUAACAGUACCCGUCAGGACAUGGAAAUUGUUAUGAUUCCCAUUCCCCUUGAAAUAAAGGAUCUGGACCAGGUGUGUGACAGAGUUGAGAUGAUAAAUGGUAGGCCCCAAACAUCUCCCUGAGGUUUCCUAACAUUUCCACCUUUGCAUUUUUUUUACCAGAGCUAGCUCAGAUCUCUUUAGAUAGACCCACAACAAGGGGUUUUGCCAAGGAUUGAAUAUUGUGUCUAUUCAUGGUUUAAGAACAACUCGUUAAUUAAGAUGCAAAAUGUGGCAACUGACAUCCCAGUUCUGGGAAAAUGUUAGCUUGAAACACCUUCUUUUACUAGGGAAUGUUGGAAGCAUGAUAAUUUUCUGGCAUUUACCAAAAUGUGAGUAGAGGUGAGGGGGUUUUAGAGUGGUUCUGAGAAUUUCUGUUGGAUAUCAUAUCUUUUUAAUUGGUUCGUCAGCCAAUCAAAUGGUAUCAUGUUCACGUUUAGACCCAGACACCAUUGUGCUGCUGCCAAUCUAGGAUUGGACACAUUGAUAUGCUAAAGGAUGAUCACAGGUUCACGUUGGGGGUGGGCUUUGGGAAGGUUCAUAGGUAUCCCGUUUCUUGGUGGAGUGUGGGUGAGUCGAUGGGUGCUGCCACCGAGCUCUCUGGGGUUAUGGGUGCGUGUCGAGCAGAGACCAGGGGCUGAGACCUGAAAUCAUCUAGUUUGUGUAAGUCACACCAGGCUAGUCUUUACUAGUCUGUGGUUUUGCCCUGCCCUGUUGCAAUAGAGGGACAGGAAUAGGGUGACUUUGGAAACCUAGAAAGUGAGGAGGAGGAGGUCUGCAGUCUAGCGAGAGGUUUUGUGUGGUUCCUCGGCCUCAGUGGACAGUUUCCACCUUCAUGUACGAGUUCCUUCUGGCCUUAAUAACCGGGGACUGCCCUGUGUUCAGCCACUCUGCUUGCAGAUGUCUUGUGCCUUUCCGCCCUGGAACUGCUCAAAUGCUUUGCGUCUGUCCCUUGCCCUUCUUGGGCCUGUUUGCUUUGCUUUAUUUGCAAAAUAGGUUUCCAGAGUUAACUGUUAAGAGCCCAAUUGAUCCUUAUGUGACACCUCCCCAUCACUUUCCCGUGGGGCUCACCCCACCUUCCAGCGUCCUCAGCCUGCAUCCCCAGUAAUGAGCCAUCAAUUCUGUUUGCUGUCCUGGUGUAUCAAGUAGUCCCACCAAAAUCCAGCCCCAGCUCUUCCUAUAAAACCGAAGCUCAGUUCUGGAGCACCUAGCAUGCACGAGUCCCUGGUUUCCCCGCCAGCACUUCCUUCCAUGGAGCUGGCUUGACUUGAUCAAUGAGCAAACCGAGGGAAUCUCUGUCUCCCUGUCCACUGUUCCCUCCUUUCCUCAGAGGUAGCAUGGCUUUGACCGAUGCCAAAACUCAGGAGGUGAGGCAGUAGCUGCAGAUAUUGGACCGUCCCCUCCAGCGGCAGGUCCAUCCUUGGCACCCAGACUAGUCCUUAGGCCUAGUGUGUUGCCCAUCACAUGACAGGAGCAUGUUCACUGCUUGGACCCAUUUUUGCAGCAAAGACCCUCCCUCCUCCCACCCUGGGAGGGGCCUGAGCAAGGCCUUUGCAGAGGGUAGAAAGUAAUGGGUUUUGGCUGUCCCCAGGCCUGUGAUAGCAUCAAAGAAUGAUAAGCUCGAGCUGCAGGACUGCUUGGAAUUCAGUAGGACUGCAAAGGUAAGGUGUGCUCCCAGAUGGCCGCCCCACCACCCUCCUGAAUGCGCACUGGGUGACCCCAAGGCGGGUACUUAGAAAGUGACCUUGGUGGUGUGUCCUAUUGGUGUCUACUCCCCUCUCUCCAUGUGACUGUGGUACUGGGCCUCUUUCUCCCACACAACUGUUCUGUUCUUAAGUGUAGGAGACAUUCUUGAUAAACAAGUAAUCACUGUGGGAAACAGACAACUUGCCUCCAAUUGUUAAUGCUGGAUACAUAAGAGGCAAUUUCAGCUGGCCCUUCCAGUAAUAAACGUAAAUGAUGCUCUUGCAAAAAAAUUAUUUACUGUCACAUCACAGAUAAAUACAUUAAGACGUCUGUGAACCUAAUUCUCCAUGUCUGCAUCAAGCGAAGAACCAUUUCUCCAAACUCUGGCUGCCUUUUAUUUAUAAUAACUCUGUCUUCUUGGCCCUGGCCCCCCCUCCCGGUGAUCUCAUGCAUAGGUACCUGGUGCUCAUUUCAUUCUCUCAAGGCUGGUCUUUGCUGCGCCUUACCUUCUUGGCAUUUGUGGGAAGCACACAAUGUUCUUGUCCUUCGUGAGCUCCUUUUCUCACUCUGGCUGCCAGCUCUACCCUGCCCCGUCUCCCACACACCUGCCCUCUGUGCUCCAUCCAUCUUUUCUCAGGGCUUUUGAGCCUUGAAUCCCACCUGGAACCUUUCCUGCUGUGCUUACUCCGUGAUAUAUCGUUUUGUUCUCCAGUUAAAGAAAGUGCAGACAAUAACCACCAAGUCCAACUCCAUCAAACAGGGGAAAAACCAACUUUUCCCUGUUGUCAUGAAUGGCAAAGAAGAUGUUUUGUGGUGCACUGAGCUCGAAAGGAUCUUCGGUUUUCCUGUGCACUACACGGAUGUGUCCAACAUGGGCCGUGGUGCCCGCCAGAAGCUGCUUGGUCGGUCCUGGAGUGUGCCCGUCAUCCGACACCUCUUCGCCCCCCUGAAGGACUACUUUGCAU
Marmota monax (woodchuck) is the source of this 5370-nucleotide RNA transcript. It is a transcript of the gene named DNA methyltransferase 3 beta, with no coding region annotated. The transcript has 21 exons. Lineage: Eukaryota; Metazoa; Chordata; Mammalia; Rodentia; Sciuridae. The record is from RefSeq and is a predicted model, not a curated record.